CUUCUUCUUAACUUCUACAUAAGAGGCUUUGCACUGACACCUGAAGUAGGGAAUGAACAAGCCAUCCAGCUAAACACAAAGUGCCGCAUUGCACAAUGUGAGAAGCCCCCUCCCGGCUCCUGGUGCCUGCCCGGUGUUGAAAUUCACAGACCACCUCGCCUCAAGGUUUGCUCUCGCUCCAUACCCUCAGGUUCAGAAAUGAAGAUGGUUAAACUCCAUAAAUAGUAGCUCUUCCAGGUUUCAAAAAAUUAAAAGGAGGAAAGAGUUUCGCUACUAUGGCGUUUUCUGCUCCAGACGCUGUGAUUAUGAAAUGUCACCGUGGAAACAGUUCAAUAUUCUCUUAAAAAUAUAAAAGCAACUGAAAUGAAAAACUACCCAGA
This 380-nucleotide long non-coding RNA is filed under the name Felis catus (domestic cat). Its description in RNAcentral is "lncRNA (ENSFCAG00000052573.1)". Lineage: Eukaryota; Metazoa; Chordata; Mammalia; Carnivora; Felidae. The record is from RNAcentral.